RNAcentral lists this ribosomal RNA (258 nucleotides) under uncultured bacterium. RNAcentral's name for it is "partial 16S ribosomal RNA". It matches the Rfam family "Bacterial small subunit ribosomal RNA", at positions 524 to 776 of the family's 1533-position model. The record is from RNAcentral.
UACGGAGGGAGCUAGCGUUGUUCGGAAUUACUGGGCGUAAAGCGCGCGUAGGCGGCCUUGCAAGUUAGAGGUGAAAUCCUGGAAGCUCGAACUCCCAGAACUGCCUUUGAUACUGAGGAUCUUGAGUUCGGGAGAGGUGGAGUGGAACUGCGAGUGUAGAGGUGAAAAUUCGUAGAUAUCGGGAGGAACACCUGUGGCGAAAGCGGCGCACUGGACCAUAACUGACGCUGAUGCGCGAAAGCUAGGGGAGCAAACAGG